AUCCAGUUGACGAGUCCAAAAUAGGACGAAAUGCGCUUUAUCCUGGAU
This 48-nucleotide non-coding RNA is filed under the name Trichobilharzia regenti. Lineage: Eukaryota; Metazoa; Platyhelminthes; Trematoda; Strigeidida; Schistosomatidae. The record is from RNAcentral.